Molecule: transfer RNA, 83 nt
Filed under: Pirellula sp.
Lineage: Bacteria; Pseudomonadati; Planctomycetota; Planctomycetia; Pirellulales; Pirellulaceae
Also listed under: 3 other names
Description: tRNA-Leu
Rfam family: tRNA
About the family: Transfer RNA (tRNA) molecules are approximately 80 nucleotides in length. Their secondary structure includes four short double-helical elements and three loops (D, anti-codon, and T loops).
Source: RNAcentral
GCCAAAGUGGCGGAAUGGCAGACGCGCUGGACUCAAAAUCCUGUGUCCUCACGGACGUGUGGGUUCGACUCCCACCUUUGGUA